GACGAACGCUGGCGGCGUGCUUAACACAUGCAAGUCGAACGGAAAGGCCCUGCUUUUGUGGGGUGCUCGAGUGGCGAAUGGGUGAGUAACACGUGAGUAACCUGCCCUUGACUUUGGGAUAACUUCAGGAAACUGGGGCUAAUACCGGAUAGGAGCUCCUGCUGCAUGGUGGGGGUUGGAAAGUUUCGGCGGUUGGGGAUGGACUCGCGGCUUAUCAGCUUGUUGGUGGGGUAGUGGCUUACCAAGGCUUUGACGGGUGGCCGGCCUGAGAGGGUGACCGGCCACAUUGGGACUGAGAUACGGCCCAGACUCCUACGGGAGGCAGCAGUGGGAAAUAUUGCACAAUGGGCGGAAGCCUGAUGCAGCAACGCCGCGUGCGGGAUGACGGCCUUCGGGUUGUAAACCGCUUUCGCCUGUGACGAAGCGUGAGUGACGGUAAUGGGUAAAGAAGCACCGGCUAACUACGUG
This 468-nucleotide ribosomal RNA is filed under the name uncultured bacterium. RNAcentral describes it as "partial 16S ribosomal RNA". It matches the Rfam family "Bacterial small subunit ribosomal RNA", at positions 28 to 507 of the family's 1533-position model. The record is from RNAcentral.